CUGGCUCAGGAUGAACGCUAGCUACAGGCUUAACACAUGCAAGUCGAGGGGCAGCAUGUGGUUGCUGCAACCAAUGAUGGCGACCGGCGCACGGGUGAGUAACGCGUAUCCAACCUUCCCCUUAGUAGAGGAUAGCCCGGCGAAAGUCGGAUUAAUACUCUAUGUUCUUCAAUGCGGACAUCUAAGUUGAAGCAAAGAUUUAUCGCUAAGGGAUGGGGAUGCGUCUGAUUAGGUUGCAGGCGGGGUAACGGCCCACCUGGCCUACGAUCAGUAGGGGUUCUGAGAGGAAGGUCCCCCACACUGGUACUGAGACACGGACCAGACUCCUACGGGAGGCAGCAGUGAGGAAUAUUGGUCAAUGGGCGCGAGCCUGAACCAGCCAAGUAGCGUGCAAGGACGACUGCCCUAUGGGUUGUAAACUGCUUUUAUCAGGGAAUAAAGUGAGGCACGCGUGCCUUUUUGUAUGUACCUGAUGAAUAAGGACCGGCUAAUUCCGUGCCAGCCGCGGC
RNAcentral lists this ribosomal RNA (509 nucleotides) under uncultured bacterium. Its description in RNAcentral is "bacterial SSU rRNA". It matches the Rfam family "Bacterial small subunit ribosomal RNA", at positions 19 to 518 of the family's 1533-position model. The record is from RNAcentral.